UGAGGAACCCUGCUACUUUCAAAUUUGCUUGCAUGGAUUGGGUUUGCAAUUCCUCUGGCCACCUUUCCACUGGGAUGAUGCUGCCUGUCUGAGCAUGAGCUGAAUUUGGAGCCAGGGUUUUAUGUUCUUUCUGUGGCCUGCAAUGAGAAUGUCAUCCCUCCCCUGCCCCAGUCAUCCCUUCCCUGGUCAAGCCUUUGUUUUUAUCUCUUUAAAUUGCGCUUAUGUCUGUAUCUCUUGCAAGGCCACUAGUCACCAACAAAAAUGAGACAUGAGAUGAGAAGAGAUGGAGAGAGUCCCACCAUUUGUAGGUUAUUUUGGGACAAACUUGUCUAGGAGGGAAUGAAAAGGGAUGAGGGUUGAGGUAUUUUCAUGGAGAUAUUUUCAUGUCUUAUGUCUUUUUGGUUUGAGGAUUCUUAAAUCCACUCUGAGCAUGAAGUUUUGGUCUUAUCUCUAGCUUCACUUACUUGCCUUUCCCUGAAUAUAUUAAUUCUGUAUACAGGGUUGGGUGUGUUACCCAUUUAGAAUGCUGGUGCCAGCAAUGUACAAGUGGUGUUGUUUGGUGUUGACCAAUUGAGCAUUAAAAUUCGCAGUAGAUAUAUUAAUUUAGGAACUUUGUGUGAUUGGUCACUUAUUUUUUUUAUUUAGGUCUAGUAGGUUUUUAUCAUGCUAAUAUAAUUUAUUAUUCAGAUAAAUAGUCUAAGUUAUUUGCUCUUCAUUUUUGCUUCAGGAAUAAUAUGAGUGGAAGUGGUGA
RNAcentral lists this unclassified non-coding RNA (751 nucleotides) under Hevea brasiliensis (rubber tree). The record is from RNAcentral. Lineage: Eukaryota; Viridiplantae; Streptophyta; Magnoliopsida; Malpighiales; Euphorbiaceae.